AUGCGGGCCCUUUUCUGGAACAUCCGCGGCUUCGGCCAUGAUGGCCGUCACCGCCAACUCAUCGAGUACAUGCGAGACGAACACAUUGACAUCAUUGCCAUCCAGGAAACCAUGCGCACCGUGUUCUCCCUCCACGAGCUCUAAUGUCUUAGUUCCCACCUCUUCGCCUGGCAUUGGCUCCCUUCUAGUGGGACCACAGGCCAUUCUGGCGGCAUCCUUUUAGGGGUAAAGGAUGCCACCUUUGAGGUGGGUGGCAUGGACCGGGGUGAAUUCUUCCUUAGUAUGGAGAUCUUCGAGCGUGCUCUUAACUUCAAAUGGGAGGUCGUGAUUGUGUAUGGACCGGCGGACCACCGGCGCUCCCUGGCCUUCCUGACGGAGCUACAUCUGAAGAUCUCCAACUCCCUCCUCCCAGUUGUAGUGGGCGGAGACUUUAACCUCAUCCGAUCCCUAGAUGAGAAGAAUAAUGACCGGAUUAACCUCCCCCGGAUGCAGUUAUUCAAUGACUGGAUCGCAGAGCUGGGUCUCUAUGAGCUAGAUCGGACGGGUGCCAGGUUCACUUGGACAAACCGUCAGGUUGACCCGACGCAAUCCGUCUUGGAUCACGUCCUAGUUUCCCCGGAGUGGGAAUUAUGUUGCCCCCUGGCCUCGCUUCGUGCGAUUACCCGGAUCGGGUCUGACCAUGUCCCUCUCCUCCUCUCCACCGCUGACGAGCGCCCCCCACCCCGCCACGUUUCCGGUUCGAGCUCUUCUGGCUUAAUCAGGUCGGCUUGCGGGAGGCUGCCGUCGCUCGCUGGAUCUCCGCUCGCUCUUCCCCUCAUCGCGCCAUGUCCACAGUCGACUCGUGGCACUUCUGUGCCAAACUCGCCCACCAAUUCAUGA
RNAcentral lists this ribosomal RNA (879 nucleotides) under Triticum aestivum (bread wheat). Its description in RNAcentral is "partial small subunit ribosomal RNA". The record is from RNAcentral. Lineage: Eukaryota; Viridiplantae; Streptophyta; Magnoliopsida; Poales; Poaceae.